RNAcentral lists this ribosomal RNA (468 nucleotides) under uncultured bacterium. RNAcentral's name for it is "partial 16S ribosomal RNA". It matches the Rfam family "Bacterial small subunit ribosomal RNA", at positions 28 to 507 of the family's 1533-position model. The record is from RNAcentral.
GACGAACGCUGGCGGCGUGCUUAACACAUGCAAGUCGAACGGAAAGGCCCUGCUUUUGUGGGGUGCUCGAGUGGCGAACGGGUGAGUAACACGGGAGUAACCUGCCCUUGACUUUGGGGUAACUUCAGGAAACUGGGGCUAAUACCGGAUAGGAGCUCCUGCUGCAUGGGGGGGGUAGGAAAGGUUCGGCGGUUGGGGAUGGACUCGCGGCUUAUCAGCGUGUUGGUGGGGUAGUGGCUUACCAAGGCUUUGACGGGUAGCCGGCCUGAGAGGGUGACCGGCCACAUUGGGACUGAGAUACGGCCCAGACUCCUACGGGAGGCAGCAGUGGGGAAUAUUGCACAAUGGGCGGAAGCCUGAUGCAGCAACGCCGCGUGCGGGAUGACGGCCUUCGGGUUGUAAACCGCUUUCGCCUGUGACGAAGCGUGAGUGACGGUAAUGGGUAAAGAAGCACCGGCUAACUACGUG